CUAUACAUGCAGUCGAGCGGACAGAAGGGAGCUUGCUCCCGGAUGUUAGCGGCGGACGGGUGAGUAACACGUGGGUAACCUGCCUGUAAGACUGGGAUAACUCCGGGAAACCGGAGCUAAUACCGGAUAGUUCCUUGAACCGCAUGGUUCAAGGAUGAAAGACGGUUUCGGCUGUCACUUACAGAUGGACCCGCGGCGCAUUAGCUAGUUGGUGGGGUAAUGGCUCACCAAGGCGACGAUGCGUAGCCGACCUGAGAGGGUGAUCGGCCACACUGGGACUGAGACACGGCCCAGACUCCUACGGGAGGCAGCAGUAGGGAAUCUUCCGCAAUGGACGAAAGUCUGACGGAGCAACGCCGCGUGAGUGAUGAAGGUUUUCGGAUCGUAAAGCUCUGUUGUUAGGGAAGAACAAGUGCGAGAGUAACUGCUCGCACCUUGACGGUACCUAACCAGAAAGCCACGGCUAACUACGUGCCAGCAGCCGCGGUAAUACGUAGGUGGCAAGCGUUGUCCGGAAUUAUUGGGCGUAAAGGGCUCGCAGGCCGCUUCUUAAGUCUGAUGUGAAAG
Molecule: ribosomal RNA, 567 nt
Filed under: Bacillus pumilus
Lineage: Bacteria; Bacillati; Bacillota; Bacilli; Caryophanales; Bacillaceae
Description: bacterial SSU rRNA
Rfam family: Bacterial small subunit ribosomal RNA
Source: RNAcentral